RNAcentral lists this ribosomal RNA (313 nucleotides) under uncultured bacterium. RNAcentral's name for it is "bacterial SSU rRNA". It matches the Rfam family "Bacterial small subunit ribosomal RNA", at positions 30 to 342 of the family's 1533-position model. The record is from RNAcentral.
AUUGAACGCUGGCGGCAUGCCUUACACAUGCAAGUCGAACGGCAGCACGGGAGCAAUCCUGGUGGCGAGUGGCGAACGGGUGAGUAAUAUAUCGGAACGUGCCCGGUCGUGGGGGAUAACGUAGCGAAAGCUACGCUAAUACCGCAUACGAUCUACGGAUGAAAGCGGGGGAUCGCAAGACCUCGCGCGAUUGGAGCGGCCGAUAUCAGAUUAGGUAGUUGGUGAGGUAAAGGACUCACCAAGCCGACGAUCUGUAGCUGGUCUGAGAGGACGACCAGCCACACUGGGACUGAGACACGGCCCAGACUCCUAC